UGGGGAAUUUUGGACAAUGGGCGCAAGCCUGAUCCAGCCAUGCCGCGUGCAGGAUGAAGGCCUUCGGGUUGUAAACUGCUUUUGUACGGAACGAAAGACUCUGGUUAAUACCUGGGGUCCAUGACGGUACCGUAAGAAUAAGCACCGGCUAACUACGUGCCAGCAGCCGCGGUAAUACGUAGGGUGCGAGCGUUAAUCGGAAUUACUGGGCGUAAAGCGUGCGCAGGCGGUUAUAUAAGACAGAUGUGAAAUCCCCGGGCUCAACCUGGGAACUGCAUUUGUGACUGUAUAGCUAGAGUACGGCAGAGGGGGAUGGAAUUCCGCGUGUAGCAGUGAAAUGCGUAGAUAUGCGGAGGAACACCGAUGGCGAAGGCAAUCCCCUGGGCCUGUACUGACGCUCAUGCACGAAAGCGUGGGGAGCAAACAGGAUUAGAUACCCAAGUAGUCCCUGAGCGGGCUGGCAAGGCGCAU
Molecule: ribosomal RNA, 471 nt
Filed under: uncultured bacterium
Lineage: Bacteria
Description: bacterial SSU rRNA
Rfam family: Bacterial small subunit ribosomal RNA
Source: RNAcentral